UACGGAGGGAGCUAGCGUUGUUCGGAAUUACUGGGCGUAAAGCGCACGUAGGCGGCUUUGUAAGUUAGAGGUGAAAGCCUGGAGCUUAACUCCAGAAUUGCCUUUAAGACUGCAUCGCUUGAAUCCGGGAGAGGUGAGUGGAAUUCCGAGUGGAGAGGUGAAAUUCGUAGAUAUUCGGAAGAACACCAGUGGCGAAGGCGGCUCACUGGACCGGUAUUGACGCGGAGGGGCGAAAGCGGGGGGAGCAAACAGG
RNAcentral lists this ribosomal RNA (253 nucleotides) under uncultured bacterium. RNAcentral describes it as "partial 16S ribosomal RNA". It matches the Rfam family "Bacterial small subunit ribosomal RNA", at positions 524 to 776 of the family's 1533-position model. The record is from RNAcentral.